UACAGAGGGGGCAAGCGUUGUUCGGAAUUACUGGGCGUAAAGGGCGCGUAGGCGGUGUGCCAAGUCAGGCGUGAAAGCCCCGGGCUCAACCUGGGAACGGCGCUUGAGACUGGCACGCUCGAGUUCGGGAGAGGAUGGUGGAAUUCCCAGUGUAGAGGUGAAAUUCGUAGAUAUUGGGAAGAACACCGAUGGCGAAGGCAGCCAUCUGGACCGACACUGACGCUGAGGCGCGAAAGCGUGGGGAGCAAACAGG
This 253-nucleotide ribosomal RNA is filed under the name uncultured bacterium. RNAcentral describes it as "partial 16S ribosomal RNA". It matches the Rfam family "Bacterial small subunit ribosomal RNA", at positions 524 to 776 of the family's 1533-position model. The record is from RNAcentral.